This 73-nucleotide transfer RNA is filed under the name Zootermopsis nevadensis. It matches the Rfam family "tRNA". Rfam says of the family: Transfer RNA (tRNA) molecules are approximately 80 nucleotides in length. Their secondary structure includes four short double-helical elements and three loops (D, anti-codon, and T loops). The record is from Rfam by way of RNAcentral. Lineage: Eukaryota; Metazoa; Arthropoda; Insecta; Blattodea; Termopsidae.
GCCACGGUGGUCUAGCGGUUAGAACGCUGGCCUUGUAAUCCUGGGGUCUCGGGUUUGAUUCCCGGCAGUGCCC